Molecule: ribosomal RNA, 253 nt
Filed under: uncultured bacterium
Lineage: Bacteria
Description: partial 16S ribosomal RNA
Rfam family: Bacterial small subunit ribosomal RNA
Source: RNAcentral
UACGUAGGGGGCAAGCGUUGUCCGGAAUCAUUGGGCGUAAAGAGCGUGUAGGCGGCUCGGUAAGUCCGCUGUGAAAGUCCAGGGCUCAACCCUGGAAUGCCGGUGGAAACUGUCGAGCUAGAGUCCGGAAGAGGCGAGUGGAAUUCCUGGUGUGGCGGUGAAAUGCGCAGAUAUCAGGAGGAACACCAAUGGCGAAGGCAGCUCGCUGGGACGGUACUGACGCUGAGACGCGAAAGCGUGGGGAGCAAACAGG